CCCGCUGAACUUAAGCAUAUCAGUAAGCAGAGGAGAAGAAAUCAACCGAGAUUUCCCCAGUAACUGCGAGUGAAAAGGAAUGUGCUCAGCGCCAAAGCCCUGGUUCUUCGGAUCAGAGCGGUGUGGCGUUCGGAGAGUCUCAUCCUCGGCACCUCGGCGGUCUAAAUUUCGCUGGAACGCGAUUGCAGAGAUGGUUUCACACCAGUCUGUCCGCCUGGAGUCGGGGAGUCGGCCCUUCAGGAGUCGGGUUGUUUGGAAACACAGCCCAAAGCGGGUGGUAAACUUCACCUAAAGCUAAAUAUGGCUACGAGACCGAUAGCAAACAAGUACCGUGAGGGAAAGUUGAAAAGCACUUUGAAAAGAGAGUGCAAGAGAACGUGAAACCGUUAUAGUGGAAGCGGAUGGAGCCGACGUAUCCGGUACGUAUUCAGCUGGUGAGCGGGGUGAUCUGCCGACCAGGAUUCCGCAAGGUUCCUGCUGGUGGUCGUCAUUCAGCACGCCAGUGCACUUGCGUACAGAGUGCGCCGAGUCGGUCGGUCGCGCCGUUCGAUGGGUGUCUAGAGGACCAGCUUGCUGGAAUCCUGAACGCUCGGAGGACGGAUGUGGCUGGCUGUUUGGUGGGUGCAAACUCCCAACUCGGCGUCCAGUCGGUCACCCAUUUGACCCGUCUUGAAACACGG
Molecule: ribosomal RNA, 680 nt
Filed under: uncultured fungus
Lineage: Eukaryota; Fungi
Description: eukaryotic LSU rRNA
Rfam family: Eukaryotic large subunit ribosomal RNA
Source: RNAcentral